RNAcentral lists this non-coding RNA (48 nucleotides) under Trichobilharzia regenti. Lineage: Eukaryota; Metazoa; Platyhelminthes; Trematoda; Strigeidida; Schistosomatidae. The record is from RNAcentral.
AUCCAGCUGACCAGUUCCAAAUAGGAGGAAAUGCAUGUUGUCCUGGAU